Siniperca chuatsi (mandarin fish) is the source of this 445-nucleotide long non-coding RNA. RefSeq lists it as uncharacterized. Lineage: Eukaryota; Metazoa; Chordata; Actinopteri; Centrarchiformes; Sinipercidae. The transcript has 2 exons. The record is from RefSeq and is a predicted model, not a curated record.
UGUUCUGUCUUUGUUGCCUCUGUCAGAGGUUGUGCAUAAUUUGUGAUGGACAUUCGCAUGUAUAAACAUUAUAUUUUUAUGAUUGCUUAAUAUUCUUUAUAAGUUUUAUUUUAUCUGCCGCUAUUAUGCAAGUUCCUAUGUGAGGACUUUUAUUUUGACGUGCUUCCACGAGCACCGCACAUUGGGUAACAGGAAAUAGCGAGCUUAUGGUGUAGCAAACGCUUAACAUGUUUUUGUUGCAUCUGAUUUGAUCAUCCUUCUAAACCCUGUCGAAAGCGAUGGCUUUUUACUCGGUUCAGUGGCUGUUGAGAUUGCCUGUGUAAACCACACAAUGGAAUAUUAAAGGAGCAAGGCGCUCAUACCCUGGCUCUUGAACAGAGUUUGGCUUGCUGUUUAUUUAUAUUUCACGCUUGGAAAGCAAAACAUAUGAAGAGAACAGUAUAGU